RNAcentral lists this small RNA (79 nucleotides) under Parachlamydia acanthamoebae. Its description in RNAcentral is "K_chan_RES". Lineage: Bacteria; Pseudomonadati; Chlamydiota; Chlamydiia; Parachlamydiales; Parachlamydiaceae. The record is from RNAcentral.
GUUGGGUAUCGGAAUGUGCGGUCAAAACUUUCAUCCAUUUUACUGUCGCGCGACCAACUCGCCAGUUUUGAUUUCCAAU